GCGUGCUGCCAGGCGGUGCGCGCUGCGCGUUGCCGGGCGGUGUGCGCUGCCGGGUGGUGCAUGCUGCUGGGCAGCCCGCUGUGCGUGCUGCUGCCUAUGACUGCGCCGCAGUGUGCUACCGGGUGGUGUGUCCAUAACAGACCUUUUUUGUCUACCACAAAUAAAUAAAAAAAAAAACAAGUCCAAUCUCCCAGGUGGCCUCCAUGGAUAAGUUCUGAUUAAGCGCUUUUGCAGGUAAUGGGCAAUCACUGUAUGGAUGGUGAAUGUGAGUGAAAUUUCUAUUUUUGUUAGCUUUGCAAGUUUUGUUGUCCCAUUUAUGUUUUGCUUCACAUUCAUAAUUCUCAUCACUUUGUUAAGGUUCAAUGAGUUUUUGAAACACUCAAAGUUGGUCAUCCACCAAAACAAGGAUCUUUAGAAGAACAUAUCCACUGCAACGAAAAGGAGAGAUUUUCUUUUCCUCUUUUACCGUAACAAGAAAGUAUCAGUAACAGGAUUGCUUAAGACUGCUUAACACAUGACAACUUCCCAACUUCAAAAAUGGCUGCGAAACAAAGGACUCUCAUGUGCAACGUCAAGGCAACAAGGUGAUUAAGCUCCCAGAAGGCCAGAACCACCAUCUCCUUUCCAGAAUGUUUCUGUGCAAUAGGGUUGAAUGUGACAAAGGUCUUUACCAUUUAUUCCACAAAAAUCCAGAAAUUAAUUAUAAUGGUUCCAUGUAUCUUCUUUACUUUAUCAAAAGGCUAUUAAAGAGGGUCUUGGGAGGGGUAUACUGGGUGCGGUCCUAACCUUCUACUCCAAAGGCUAUUACCCAAUCUUCUUUACUAUGUAGAAAGUACAAUGAUGAAAAUAAGAAUAAGGUUUAUCCCCAUUUACUCUUCUACUCAACUUUUUUAUUAUAAAUGACAGUUCUAUGACUAAACAUAGCCGUUAUUGUCCUCUAGUCAUUAUGUUACUAUAACUGGUUUGGGGGAAUUUCUUCACAGAUGUGAAUUUUCCAACUGUGACCAUGAGGUCACCCGAGGAGAUAUAUUCAAAUUGAUUGAAGUUGAUGGAGCUGCAUGCAUGUGUCUGUUCAAAGAUACAAACCUAUUCAGGAUGCAUGCAUCUGAUUAAAUUUUCAGGUCUGUAAUGUUAUUUACUGAAGCAUGUCUAGGAGUAAAUUUUUUAUGCACUUUCAACAACAUAUAGAGUUGAUGUAUGGAUAAACCAGUUUCAAGAUGAUGACUGAGAAUAGGUUUCAAUGUUUGGUGGUUAGCAAAUGCGCUGAUUGUACACCCCAAAACCUUGCAGUAUAAUUUCUCCCUUAUUGAUGAUAUUAAAUAUUGUUUGAUAUUACUCCUGUAAUUGAAUUUCUGUUUAAAUGUUGUUUAUUAUAUAUAGUUACAUACUGGUCAAGAAAAAGAAAAACAAGAUUAUCACUCUUAUUCUGCCAUUCAAAUAUGUGUUUAAGUAUCUGACAUUCCUGUCACUAAAUUUAGUAGUUUGUAUCCUCUUGUCAGUAAAUCAGUAAAUCACCAAUACCAUACAAAUCUUCUUAUGCCCUAUGAUCACCUCUGAGGUCUUUCCUUGUAUUGAGAUUGAUACAGCCAUAUGCAUUAGUACAAAUAUAUGUGGUUAUUGCUCCUAAGGUGUAAACUAACCAACAUAAGACAUACCUGACAAUCUCUGUAAUUUUACAGCGCAUGUUUGUGCCUAGAUAUGGGUAGAAGAUAAAUUGGAUUUUGGAACAUAGAUGGAUUUCUAUAGAACCAGCAGUUGUAGCUUAGCAAAACAGAGUUGGAUGCAUUUCAAGGAUACUGGACAGUGGGCUAAAAUAAAAUGAAAUAUUUUAUCUUCAGGCAUGUCUUCAAGAAGUAACUGUUCCAGAAACACCAAUCAUCCAAUGGAGAAGUUUCAAGACUGAAAUUUUUUGACAAGAGUGAAAAAUUCUUCUGCCAAGUAUUUUGACAUCUCUACGAGGAAGUUCUUUGAAAUGAAUUCCUCUUAAAAGUGAUGGUUCAGAUAAAAUGCUCCUUGGCUGAAACUCAUACAAAGCAUUCCUGGUUCUUACUCGAGUUUGAGAAUGGAGCUCUUGGGGGCUGGCAUAAGUUCUAAUCCCUGAGAUUUGGUUGCAAUGCUUACCCUCCUUUUUUUUAUGACAUUUGGAGGGUUAAUGAAGUUCCUUUUCCAUUUCCAAAUUGAAAUGUCUGUCUACUUAGGAAUCUAGUAUCUGAGUUUAGUUGUAAGCAAAAAACUGCUUGUGGUACUGAAUUGUUACAUGGGUUUCUAUUUUUCAUCCUUUUAUCAAAAUUGCAUUUUAAUGUUUUUUU
Non-coding RNA from Nelumbo nucifera (sacred lotus), 2309 nucleotides. Lineage: Eukaryota; Viridiplantae; Streptophyta; Magnoliopsida; Proteales; Nelumbonaceae. The record is from RefSeq and is a predicted model, not a curated record.